UGUUCAACAUCUAUCUAUCUAUAAUAUAUAUAAAAGCAAAGUUUUUGCAGCCUGGAGGAUAAAACAGUCAUUCAAUUUGACAUUCCACAUGAUUGGAUUUUUCUGAAUGGUUAUUUCUGUAAUUGUGUUAUUGAUUGAAUAGAGAAUUAAUCAUGGCCGUCCCUUAGUUUGAUCAUGGCCGUUGACAUCCUGACUUCCACUCUUCCAUUACAUCUGAAUUCUGAAACAUCUCCUUUCACCUUCUCCCUUUUCGCCCUCUCUACAGUUAUGGGCAUUGAUCACACCACACCUUUCUUCUGGGUAUGCAUUAGAUCUUCAUUUGUUGUUGCCUUUUUAUCUUCUAAACGUAUCUCGCUCACUCUUCGUUUCUCUUUUCGCUUUCUGAAACGUAUCAAUAGCUCUCGACUCCCCUUCUGAAACGUGUCUAUCUCUAUAAAUUUUCACAAAACUUCUGGAUUCGUCAAUUGCUUUCAGUUAUCGCUUAUCUCCUCUGCAACUCUUGCGUUGUGGCGCAGCUUUCGUUUCCACUAGGGUUUGGCCGCACAAAAUCUGCAACUCUAUGCAACCCAAUUUUCUUUAGCUUUAGGGCCCAAGGCUUCUCAUUUCGGCGGAGCGGCUUGGAUAAGAUUUUGAAACCAGGGAAGGUUCGAUCAGCAUCUGCUUCCUUAAAUUCCACAAAGAAUUUAAUGUCUCAGGUCCUUUAGAACUCUCCGGGAUGUGAAUGUAUCGUUCCUCUUUCAUGCCCCCAGGCCUCGAAUCCCAGCGGAACUCCAGUUCAUUGCCAAGAUCAUUGUGGCCGCACAUCCCUCAUCUAUAGCUUGUGGAAAAAGCAAAUAAGAAAAAAGCUUGCAAUGCCCUUUUUGUUUGAGUGUAACUAAAAGUUACGAAGCUGUGAAAAUGACUAAGCAAGCUAGCUGUGGAGUUAUGGCUAGCCACCGAAUGUAUUGAAGGUUCCUCAGAAUGAGUGUUUUAAUACCUUUUCAUUUUCAAUAGCUUAUGUAGGAUUUGAUACUUGCUUCAUUGAAACUCAAGUUUAGUUUGCAAUUCAUCAUUGAUUAUUUUUUAGAUUAAACUUUCCAAGCGGUGAACUAUUGUCUUUAUAUUAUCACAUGUCAAAUUCACAUUGGUUAUAUCAUACAAAUACUAUCUCUAAAAUUUAGUUGAACGACCAUUUGAUGAAAUGAUGAUACAAAUACUUAGUGAAUGAGUAUUUUAAUACAUAUGUACUCUACCGGCGAUUCUUUUAGCCAUAUUUGAUAGCAUGGAGGGAAAACUGUUGGUUUAGUAGUGUCACUCUUGAGCUUGAAUGUACCUUUUAUGCGAGUGGAAUUCUGGGCUCUGCCCUUUCAACCCUCUAACCAUUGAUAAGAAAAUUUCAACGGGUUUGAGAUGACACUAUGCACCCCGAACACGUGGUGUUAAACUAGCAAAUCUAAUUUGCUUUUCAACUUUCUGAUUGAGUUGUUUGAAACUUUCUAAAUCUGAUUUGCUUUACAACUUUCUCAUUUAGCUAUUAUUUGUAACUUACUACUUUUUGUGCGUUCAAUGGUGUGGUUAUUAUUCUCAUGAUUUUUUUUGGUGAAUGUUGCAGUGAUUUAGCAGCCUCUAUGGCUUGAAAUGUUCAGUACCUCUUCCUUCAACUCUCUUUCCGUAACUCUCUUCUUAAUAUUAGCUAUUUUCUGUUCUAGCUUUUUCUUUUCCAUGUGUUGGCAUGUUCAUGAAUGUUCCUCCAAUCUGUUUUUUCUGUUCACUUCUUUCUUUUCCAAUAUUUUAGUAUGAUCACAACGACUGCACUUGGGUUAGUUCUGGCCGCAAGAACACCUCUUCUGAAGGCGUCGUCGUUCCAUUCGCCUCUUCCAUAUAUAUAUUUGUUUCAUAUUUAAAGUUUUCUACUUAAUCAGUAUUACAGCUAGAAUAAUUUGUUCUCUUUUUUCCCUAAUUUGUUCUCAUUUUCCUGAACUGUUGGUUCUCAUGAACCUGUUUCUUUCUGGCAUCUAUUUUACGGUAGAGCUAUGGAUAAUCCUAAUAGUAUUUCUCAAGAAUUGGGGCUGCUAAUAGAUCCAGUAAGGAUAUCCCUUGAAGAGGAUUUUCAAAACAUACAGCCUUAGGAACUCAAUUGAUUUGCUAUAGUUCUGCAAAUAAGCAUGUUUAUCUACCUUCCUUCAUUUCUAAUUUUUAUUUAGGUCAAUAGUUACUGUUUGAUAUUUAAUGUGUUCUCUUCCCCAUCUUUUUAAUUAGUCACUUAUUCCGCUAUGGAAAUGCAUUGUAUUGCAGGUGCAUGUCAUGUUGGAAAAACUGCCAGAAGAAGAUUUUGGCCUUGAAAUAGAUAUCAGAGGGUGAAAAAGUCAUGUCUUGAUGUUCAGCUCUGCAAAAAAGGAACUGAAGAUUGUGAUCCGUCAAAUGAUACCACUUCGGGGGGAUUGCUUAAAUUUCCAAACGUUUAUUAAAAGAAAACUUCAGUUUCCAAAGCAUAGCAAUGAAGAAAUGGUAUUUGAUUUUUUUUCUAAGCUUAAAUCUGUCUUCUUUUUUAUUGAGUUCAAGCUUUUAUAUAUUUGUAACAAUUUCAAUUUUUAUUUGACUCAUUUCUGUUCAAACUUUCCUAAAUCAGCCCUAUAAACUACAUUGAUAUGGUCAUCUUUGUCGGUUUAUUUGAAUGAAAGGGAUAGGGAUAAGGAAAAGGAAAGGGAGCUAGAGAAGCAUAAAGAUUGAGAAAAGCAGAGAGAAAUCUAUAGAGGUGGGGAGGAAGACAAGGGGAAAGAUAAAAUUAGAGAGAAGGAGAGGCAGAUAGAUCGAGAUGAAGAGGCAAUUUCAUAUAAUUUACCAUGGGUAAUUUACCCUAUCUUCUUGAAUAUGUUGAGAGGGUGCAGGGGGUGAAGGUGGAACCAUCUUUGGAAUAUGUUUAUUUUCUGCAGUAGUAAAUACUCCUGGAGCAUCUUUUACAUGAUUACAGCUAACAACUGCUUAACCACCUUAUUCCACUUGAUUUUUCCUUGACUUUAUGCCGACAUGUGAUUUUUCCUUCAACGUUUUCAAGGUUAAAUUUAAUUUAGCUUUAUUUAACAAGAGGACCAUUAGCUUGAUUUAUUCCACCAACUUUUUGUUCUGAUCAGCAACCCUAGGAGGUUCCACUGUGCACAUAUGUUGAUCUACGUAGAUUAGGCAUGGAAAGUGCUCAAGAGGUGUGUCACAUUAACCAUAGAGCUUAAUAAGAGAUAUAGCUUUUUUUUCUUCAGGUUAUUUUCUUUUUCCCAUUUUAUACUCAUCUGAUAGUGUUGUCAAUAAAACUGAGAUGAAUAGAAAAUAUUAGAAUGAAAUGAUUUAUAUGUUGCACUUGAUAAAUAAAAAUUAGUGCUCUAAACGUUUUAAUUCAUGAAGAAUAACAAUUACGCCCUAGAAAUGCAAUGGAUAUAUCUUAUUUUCUUCUAUGCCUUAUUAUAGCCAAGUAAUUCAUUUACUUGAAUAUGAAUAGGGUGCAGGUGUUCCACAAGUGCCUUUUUUAUUGCUUUUACUUGAACGUGAACAUGGAACAAACAAGUAUGAACCUGAAACAGUUUUAAAGGGAUGCUUUGUUUGUGCUUUGAGUAGUAGGCAAGGGUUGUAUCUUCAAUUCAUCAUUAGAUUCUUCCCUCCUUACUUUUCCUAGAUUACUAUUCUGUCUCAUGCUAUUAUCCAGUUUAUUUGCCAAAUUGAUUUUAUUGAUUAUUCUUUUGGUGUGAUUUUGACCAUGAAGAAGAUUGACAUUAUAUCUUUGAACUCUUUGAUGUGGGCCUGUCAUAGAGCCGGGCACUAAUAGCUGGCUCUAGCGCAGCUCGAUCAGGUGAGGACUGCGGAGUUAUUACCUGACCAGUUUAUGUGUUCAAUAUUGAUGAAUGUCUAUUCUAACUUACAAGAUUAAUGGGAUACAACUCUGCAUACGUCCAACAUUUCAAGCUAUGCUGCUACACAUGGUUUAGGAGAAAAUGCUUUGCGUCUUUUUCUUUAAACCUUGACGUAGAAUAUUCAGCCAAAUGACUAUGUUAGCUGUCUUCUGAGUUAAGUUUCCAUUUUUUUAUGAGUAGAAGUGAGUAGUCCAAUCCAUGCUUUGGUUUUUACCAUUUUUUGGCCCCAUUGGACAUGAUAGUUCUGAGACUAUUCAUAUAACUCUUCAUCUUGGUGUUAAUUUCAAGACAUUUACUGGGGCAAAGAUGAUUGAAGUGAAGACAAACCAUGUAAAGUUCCACAAGAAUGGGAUCUUAUUGAGUUCAUGCUACGUGAACUUCAAGCAAGGGAAACUGGGGUUGAUCUACAUGAUAGGAAAAGAAAAUGUGAGUCUUUAUGGCCUAUAUUUCAAAUUGCUCACAAGAAGAACCCCUACGUAUUUGAAGCUGAUUGCAAAAUGGGAGAAGUUUGUACAUGUUAUAUGGAAGGUUUAACUAGCUGUGGUACUUCAAGAGUUUUCUGUGGUGGAUUCAUUUUAGGUGAAGUGAGUUAUUGAUUAUUUUUUCUGGGCUAUCAUUGUUUUGGAUGGUUUUCACUUUUGAUUUUAGUAGAUGUAUUAUGAACUUUCUUGACGGGUUGUCCUCAAGAUAUUUAUCUAUUAAAAAAUAUUACCUUUGCUUUAAAAAACAUUAAUAUUUUCUGUUGUGGGGUGUAGGAAGUCUAAGGAACUAAGCAUCUUUUUUCUCUUAGGUUAAAAAUGUAGUUAGUCAUCAGUUAGUAUUCAUUAAGGAGCAUUAAGAAACCCCAAUUUCCCGUGCUUAAAAAAUUUAUAACAAAUUAGCUUUAUGACAAAUUUAAGAAUCUUUAAUUAGAAGUGAGUAUUUAUCUUUUCCUAUCAUGUAGAUCAACCCCAAUUUCCAAUUUUACUUAAAAAACCUGAAGGUUUCACGGUUACAAAAUUGAAUGGUCAUUAGUUAGUAUUUAAGGAGCAUUAAGUGUGUUUAAG
Molecule: long non-coding RNA, 4924 nt
Organism: Lotus japonicus
Lineage: Eukaryota; Viridiplantae; Streptophyta; Magnoliopsida; Fabales; Fabaceae
Exons: 4
Source: RefSeq, a predicted model, not a curated record